CGCGCAGGCGGCUCUGAAAGUCAGAUGUGAAAGCCCCGGGCUUAACCUGGGAAUUGCAUUUGAUACUCUGGAGCUUGAGUACGGGAGAGGAGAGUGGAAUUCCCAGUGUAGAGGUGAAAUUCGUAGAUAUUGGGAAGAACACCGGUGGCGAAGGCGGCUCUCUGGACCGUAACUGACGCUGAGGCGCGAAAGCGUGGGGAGCAAACAGGAUUAGAUACCCUGGUAGUCCACGCCGUAAACGAUGUGCGCUAGACGUUGGAAGGCUUAGCCUUCCGGUGUCGCAGCUAACGCGAUAAGCGCACCGCCUGGGGAUACGGCCGCAAGGUUAAA
Molecule: ribosomal RNA, 330 nt
Filed under: uncultured bacterium
Lineage: Bacteria
Description: bacterial SSU rRNA
Rfam family: Bacterial small subunit ribosomal RNA
Source: RNAcentral